UAACUUUCUCUUUGAACUUGUUCUGAUGAGUUAUGAAACUGUUGAUAUAUCGAAUACUAGUGUCUUAUACAAGACACAAAUAUCGUAAUUCGAAAUUUUUACUUCUGAAUAUCAUCCCAAAUAUGAAAAUAUCAAAAAAAUCUGUUCAGUAGUACUUAAGUUUUCAAUAUUUAAUUAUGUCCAAUUUAAAUUGGUAUAUACUUUCUAAAACCUUUAGCUAUUUUUUUUUAUGUAAAUAAAAACAUGGUUCUAUCUAUUCUACCAAUUAGUUGGUAAGCAUUUUUUCAAAAAAAUAAAUCAAACAUUCACCAUAAACAAUUUGUAGAUUAAGUGAAAAAAUAAGAAAGAUUUGCAUGAUGGACCCAAAAGCUAAGAAAAAGACAAACUAAAACUAGAGCUAAAAUAAAAUAAAAUAAAAAAAGUUACAAAAAUUAUCCUAAAAAUGUCAAUCUUUCUUUCAUUGGAUAUUAGGAAAAUAUCAUUGUUGAGGGAACUUCCCAAAGUGACGAUUCAUUGCACUUCUUCCUUCACUUCCAUCGUCUCUCUCCAUCUCGACUAUAGGCUUCAGAUUUUUUGGGAUCGUGAAGAACGGGAUGUCGAAACGAGGACGCAUCCGCCGGGAACAGGUUCAACAUGUCACUGGGUCAGCCGGUGGCGGUGACGGUGAACUGCACCGAUAACACUGGUGCGAAGAACCUGUACAUCAUUUCCAUGGUGUUAGUUUCUCUCUUUCCAUCCAUCACUAGUCAAUGUUCAUUUGAGUUCGAGGUCACUGGUGAAUUUGGUUGUGGUGGAAUAGCUUAUUUCAGCUAGUCAUUGUCUCAGUCGCUGCUCAUAACGAGGAGCACUUUUAGAGACUUGAAGUUCAGCUCGACAAGUGAGAGUAUUUGGAGGUCAUUAGAAUGAGGUAUGCAAGAAAAAGAGUCAGGAGAAUCACCAAGACCAAGAAGACAUGCUAUAAAAGUACAACAAUUAGCAGAAUUAUGGAUCAUCAAUUCAUCACCCUUUGAUAAGUCUAACUCUAGUCUUUGAACAUUCCUAGAAAACACAAAUUUAAUACAUUUAUCAAUCUCAUGCUGCAUGGAUUUGUACAAAUCAAAACAAACCCGAAAUUGGUCUAGUCUCUGCACUUUACACAUUUGCAAAGUACAACUAACCCACCUAAGAUACUUCUUCAUUGCCUUUUCUGUAGGUUGGGGGUAAGGUUACUUUAUCCAAGGGUAUGGUAGCAUCAAAAUCAAGUCGAUAAAUGUUCCCCAAUCAUAGCCAUCGCCUUGAGAGGACACUUGUGUUAGAUGCUUCUUCAAUAGUAAGAAAAUAUAGUAUAUGUACUAAAGCGUCAUCAGGUAACUGACUUAGUAUUUUUGGAAACGUUGUGGAGUUCCAAUUAUAUCCACUCUUUCUCUAUUGAUAUUUCAUUAAAUGAUUUAAACAGUGUAUGGCCAUUGAUUGCAUUAAUGAGAAAACCAAGGAGUUGUCGUAGUACAUGAAUGUAUAUCUUUACAUGGACUAAUUUGAACAUCUAGAAUAUGACUGUAGUGAAAGCUCUGAAUGAAAUUAAGGCAUCUCUUGGAUGGAGAGUGGUGUAUGCAUGGGUUGGAGAUGAUCCUUGUGGAGAUAAUGAUUUACCUCCAUGGUAUGGUGUUACAUGUUCAAGGACGGUUGAUUAAAGAGUAGUUAUUGAAUUAAAAAAAUGACUAAUUCAAGUCAAACAAAUGCUGGAACAGUAAGUGCUGCAACAAAAAUGGUUGCACAUAAUCAUUCAAAUGCUGCCUUAGCACCGGCUGAAAAACCUGCAAAUUUUUCUGGAGUCGACUUUAAGAGAUGACAGCAAAAGAUGUUCUUCUAUCUCACUACGUUGAGUCUGCAGAAGUUCAUCAAUGAGAAUGUUCCUGUUAUGUCAGAUG
Molecule: non-coding RNA, 1907 nt
Organism: Solanum lycopersicum (tomato)
Lineage: Eukaryota; Viridiplantae; Streptophyta; Magnoliopsida; Solanales; Solanaceae
Source: RefSeq, a predicted model, not a curated record